This 1098-nucleotide ribosomal RNA is filed under the name Aphis taraxacicola. Its description in RNAcentral is "partial 16S large subunit ribosomal RNA". The record is from RNAcentral. Lineage: Eukaryota; Metazoa; Arthropoda; Insecta; Hemiptera; Aphididae.
UUUUUUAUAAAAAUAAUUUAUUUAUUUAAGGUUUUAGUAUUUAGUAAAAAUAAUUUUUUAGAUUUAUAGUUUAAUAGUAUUGUAAAAGAAAUUGUUAAAUUUUAUAAAGAAUUUUAUAGUACCUUUUGUAUCAGGGUUGAUUAAAAUUUUUAAUUUUUUUUUAAUUUCUCAAAAUUUAUAGAGUUAAUUUUAUUAUUAAUUUAUUGUGGUAAAAAUAUUUAUAAAAUAAUAUUAGUUUUGAAAUUUAAUUCGUUAUAUUAUAUUUAGUUAUUUAAGAUUUAAAUUUAAUUUAAAAUUUUAAAAGUUGUAUUAAUUUUAUUGAUUAAUAUUUUAAAUUUAAAUUAUUUUAGGGAUAAGCUUGAAAUUUUAAUAUAAUAAUUUAUUUAUUUUAAUAAUUUAUAGGAAUAGAAAUUUUUAUUUAAGUUUGUAAAAAUUUAUUAUUUAUUUAAUUUUAAUUUAUUAUAUUUAUAUUUAUUUUUAAUAUUAAAUUUUAUUAAUUAAUAUUUAAUUAAUAGUAAUAAUGAUUAAAUUAGUAUAAUAUAUAAAUUUAUAAAUUAUGAAUUCGGCAAAAAUUAUUUUCAUCUGUUUAACAAAAACAUUGUAUUAAGUUUAAUUUAAUAUAGGAUCUGCUCAAUGAUUUAUUAAAUAGCUGCAGUAUUUUGACUGUGCAAAGGUAGCAUAAUAAUUAGUCUUUUAAUUGAGGACUUGAAUGAAAGAUUUGAUGAGAAAUAGACUUUAUUAUUUAUAAAAUUAAAAUAUUAUUUUUAAGUAAAAAAGCUUAAAUUAUUUAAAGGGACGAUAAGACCCUAUAAAACUUUAUAAAUUUUGAUUUUAAUUUUUUUGGAUUCAUAAAUAUUUUAUAAUUAAAAUUUAUUUUAUUGGGGUGAUAAAAAAAAUUGCUAAACUUUUUUUAAAAUUUAACAUUAUUUAAUGAUUAGUUGAAUUAAAAUUUUUAAUUAAAGGCAAAAGUUACCUUAGGGAUAACAGCGUAAUUAAUUUUUUAAGUUCAAAUUUAAAAAUUAGUUUGCGACCUCGAUGGGGAAAUAAGAUUAAUCUUAGGUGCAAAAUUUUAAGUAUUAGCUCUGUCCGUCCCCUAAC